GACGAACGCUGGCGGCGUGCUUAACACAUGCAAGUCGAACGGAAAGGCCUGCUUUCCCUUGUGGAUUGCGGGUACUCGAGUGGCGAACUGGUGAGUAACACGUGAGUGAUCUGCCCCCAACUUGGGUAUAAGCCUGGGAAACUGGGUCUAAUUCCCGAUAGUACCGCAGGGUGGUGCCUGUGGUUGAAAACGAUUUUCUAGUGGUUGGGGAUGAGCUCGCGGCCUAUCAGCUUGUUGGUGGGGUAAUGUCCGUCCAAGGCGGGGACGGGUAGCCAGUCUGCGAGGGUGGACGGCCACAUUGGGACUGAGAUACGGCCCAGACUGAUAGGGGAGGCAGGAGUGGGGCAUCUUGCGCAAUGGGAGGGAGCCUGAUGCAGCGACGCCGCGGGGGGGAUGACGGCCUUCGGGUUGUAAACUCCUUUCGACCGCGAGGAAGCCACCUGGUUGGAAGGGUGGUGACGGUAGUGGUAGAAGAAGCACCGGCUAACUACGUG
This 494-nucleotide ribosomal RNA is filed under the name uncultured bacterium. Its description in RNAcentral is "partial 16S ribosomal RNA". It matches the Rfam family "Bacterial small subunit ribosomal RNA", at positions 28 to 507 of the family's 1533-position model. The record is from RNAcentral.